RNAcentral lists this ribosomal RNA (462 nucleotides) under uncultured bacterium. Its description in RNAcentral is "partial 16S ribosomal RNA". It matches the Rfam family "Bacterial small subunit ribosomal RNA", at positions 28 to 507 of the family's 1533-position model. The record is from RNAcentral.
GACGAACGCUGGCGGCGUGCUUAACACAUGCAAGUCGAACGGAAAGGCCCUUCGGGGUGCUCGAGUGGCGAACGGGUGAGUAACACGUGGGUGAUCUGCCCUGCACUUUGGGAUAAGCCUGGGAAACUGGGUCUAAUACCGAAUAGGACCACGCGCUUCAUGGUGUGUGGUGGAAAGCUUUUGCGGUGUGGGAUGGGCCCGCGGCCUAUCAGCUUGUUGGUGGGGUAAUGGCCUACCAAGGCGACGACGGGUAGCCGGCCUGAGAGGGUGACCGGCCACACUGGGACUGAGAUACGGCCCAGACUCCUACGGGAGGCAGCAGUGGGGAAUAUUGCACAAUGGGCGCAAGCCUGAUGCAGCGACGCCGCGUGAGGGAUGACGGCCUUCGGGUUGUAAACCUCUUUCACCAGGGACGAAGCGUAAGUGACGGUACCUGGAGAAGAAGCACCGGCCAACUACGUG